GGGCCCGAUCUUUAUAACUCAUUGCAAACAAUUAUUCUCAAUUUUAGGAUAAAAAGAUUUGCAUUCACGGCUGAUAUCAAAGAAAUGUUUUUACAGGUAGAAGUGAGAAAGGAAGAUCUAAUGUCUCAACGGAUUCUAUGCAGGAGAAUGGAAAUACAAAUAGAACCAGAAGUUUACGAAAUCAAUGUUGUUUUCUUUGGAUCGACUUGUGGUCCUUGCUUGGCACAUGGAGCAAAGAACAGAAAUGCUCAUCACUUCAGCCAUCUGUAUCCAGAAGCAGCUCUAGCAAUAAUCGAAUCCCACUAUAUGGAUGAUUACUUGGGUAGUGCAGAUAGGAUACGCUAAAACGGACCAAAUAUUUGGACCCGAUUGAUGAUUCGGGUUUCUUCGUGAAUCGGCUGUGUCGUACAUCCUCGAGUUCCCGAGGAUCUGCAACUAAAAUCAUUACUUGACACUUGUCAAUUGGCAUGAAUAGACAAAGUCACAAUACAUUUGCCUCUAUUUGGGUAUAUUCGAAUUUUUCAAGUGAAAAAGUGUUGAAGAGCAAUUUUUAUUGCUUAAUUUAUACAAAUAUAUUGGUUAAUGAGGAAGAACAAAUUUUACCCAAAUUCCUAAAUUAUCUGAAAAAGUGAGCAGAAUUUGGCAGAUUGUUUCUAACGAAACUAAUCAUGGAUAUUUUUAAGUCAUUACUUUCAAAACCAACAGAGAAUAAUGAUGUGGCCUAUUGUUAAAGAAUAUGAGCAGGUAUUCAUACAAAUAUGGCGAUAAAGAGCUUGAAUAAAUAUCUGAAAUCUAAUAAAAUAGAAGGAAAAGAAAAUAAGAGUUGAAAAGCUAUCAGAUUUGUUGGAAGAAAUAGUUGAUGAGAAGAUGUGGAUGAAAAUUAUGAGCAAUGAAAGACCUAACUCUAACAACUAUCAACAAAAAAUUUCUGUUGAAUCUCAUAAAAAAGCAGAAACAAUGAAAGACUAAAUAGAGGAGGUCUGUACUCUGUAUAUGAUGAUAAAUAUUAUAAUACACAAUUUAUAUCAUCAUGUGAUCCAGAUUGUGGUUUAAGAUAUUGUAGUCAUUGUUAAAUAUGCUUGCACAAAUAUAAAUGUGAGUGUUCCACUAAUAGCAUCAAAGUUAUAUUGUGCAAGCAUUUGCAUGCUGUUACUAUGUUCGGACAAAGAAUCAACUCUGUUUCAGAUGACGACAACAAUUUAGAAAUUAAUGAGCCAUCAACAAGUUAACAAUAAUGAAGAUGUGGGACAUUUUAUAGAUUGAACCAUUUCUAGUUCACAAAAUUUCACAUCUAGAAGCAAUGACACAGAAAAUGAUUUGCUGAAAUGUGUAAAACAAUUGAAGACUCUCAAUCCAUAAGGAAAGAGGAGAUUAUUUGCAACUAUAGGGUCAAUGCCAAGAAGAACUAACAUUUAAGAAGUGAAAAUUGAGAAGCAAAUCUAUUUCCCAAGAAAAAAAAUGAAUACAGAGACUACCAGAACUUCAUAGCAAAUAAUUUAGAACAUUGAAAUGAGAUUG
Molecule: long non-coding RNA, 1518 nt
Organism: Harmonia axyridis
Lineage: Eukaryota; Metazoa; Arthropoda; Insecta; Coleoptera; Coccinellidae
Exons: 4
Source: RefSeq, a predicted model, not a curated record